This is a long non-coding RNA of Papaver somniferum (opium poppy), 2437 nucleotides long. RefSeq lists it as uncharacterized. The record is from RefSeq and is a predicted model, not a curated record. Lineage: Eukaryota; Viridiplantae; Streptophyta; Magnoliopsida; Ranunculales; Papaveraceae. The transcript is spliced from 5 exons.
CCGAAUACUUAACUAGACGUUAACUAGGUCGACAAUCCUUUCGUGAAAACUAAAAUUGUCAUCUACGUUUUCCUACGGGAAAAAAGAGAGAUUGAUUUCGCACAAACCGAUCAUUCUUCUCUGCCUCCGAGUGAAAAACUAAAAGAGCUGGAGAAGAAAAUUAUUCAUCACCUCCGAAUCAACACGAUCAAUCCAUAAUCAGUGCCCACAGUAACCCAACCUUUCCAAUGGAUGAAUGCAUAAAAGAGAGAUUGAUUUCUUCAAAGAUUAGGGUCUGUUGUUCGCAUUAAGAUAAUAAGAUCUGUUGUUCAGAUUAGUGAUAAUACAUACCAGGUGUUUGUCAAAAUGCCUGAGUGAGUAGUUCUGCAUGCACAACUUAAAGUUCAGCUGUACCGGUUGAUUGCUCCAAGUUUCCACGGAUGCUGAUGAGUCCCACAAAGUGUCAGGGAAGGAACAACACACAGGUGCUGUAAGAGUUUGGGUUAGGAGCUGUUUCAGUGGUGCAGAGAUGUCAAGGCAAGUAUUGCAAGAACCUUGGCCAGUACUUUGGAUUUGGGUUUGAAAAACAUGAACCACCACGCAAAUGCCAGAUCCUUACGGCACAGAGGUUGGAAAUUCUGCAGAAAUCCCAGAUUGGUAUGAAGAGAGAUGGUUAUUAACGUUCACGGCUACACGCUAUUAUACACGAGGCAUGGAAGAUCAAUUUGGAUGAGUAUGGUACACCGUUUAGGCUGGGUUACACCGGAGGCUUGAAGUGUUGCUACGACGAGAUCCAAUGCAGGGUAAGAGGAGGCUUCAAAAGUAUCAAAAGAGGCGCCUAUCUUAGAUAUACAGAUUACAGUGAAGUGGGUAGACUGGGAAGAAACUAUUGUGCCUGUCAAAAUCUGCGUUUUUGAUGUCACCUAUACUGCGAAAAAAGGGAAUGGUUCGGAUAACCUAUAAGGGGCUCCAUGACCAGCACAUUUUGGUUAUGUAGUGUGGCCAGUGUGGGUUCUAAUUUGCAAUUGUGAAAAAAGAUGGAAUAUGACGUCAAGGCAUGUGAUAGGAAUAGUGCAGGUAUAGUAAUAUUUUUGUAGUUAGCAAAAAAAACAAGUUUGGUUCUUCCCAAUGGAGGUUAUGUUAUCCCUCGCCUUGAUCAGCACUCUGCUGGGAUCAGUUCAGCGCUUUAUAAAGAGUUUAAGUCUUACUUUAUAAAGGGUCUUUCAGCAAAUCAUUUGCAGAUAAUCUAACGUUGUAGACUGCGAUGCAUUUUGUAGGUGCAAGUAGCCAGCCAUGUUUGUAUUUUGUAGGCUGCUAGAAUCAUUCGAUUUUUGGUAUCUUCGAGCACCCUAUGAUAUUACCAUGUAUGAAAAUAUGCAUUAAUGCUUUAAAACUCUGACGUAAAAGAUGCAUUCCUCAAGUUUAUGCUGGCAAAAUAUAUUAUGUUUAUGAUCUUACACUUGAAUAGAAGAUUGAAUUAGUAAUGAAUUAGCAAACUUUUAAACUUCUUGGGUGGAAUCCGUUGGUUUUCUUAAUUUGAUGAUUAUUGAAAAGAAAAAUUUAUCGUCUCAGAAGCAGCACGGUAUGGUGGGGUGUUAUAUUCAGCUACUGCUUUGGUUUUCAGUUUCUGGACAUAUUUAUGUCAAGAUGUAUGUUUUAUAGUAAUUGUCACAUUGCUAUGAAGGAUACUCUUAUACCAGCAGUUGUCAUAACUAAAAGACUCCAUAGCUAAGUUCAAGUACGUUUACAUGGAACAGUUUGACAAGGACGGUGAUGAUCUUAUUGAGAGUGAUGGAAAACUUGCGAUGCUAGGACAGUUCAUGGCAUUAGUGCUUAUUGUGGAUGCUUAUGGCUUGUUGCUCUCGAAGUUACUGCUUCAAUGGGGAAAGAGAGAAGAAAUUGUAAACCUCCAUGAAGUAACCGAGGACCCCAGGUAUCAAUCAAUACAUCUCCAGUAGAAAAUCUUCUAUUUCUUGCGGGGAAUAAACUUUUUAAGAUUUAACCAAUCCGAAAUUGAUUAGGACCUGGAAAAGAGAAGAAAAAAAAUAUAGCAUAUUUAUACAAUUGGCAGGCCAGUGCUACUCCAAUUUUCCUUGGACGACUUCGAACCGCUGGGAAGUUCCCAUGCAUCAACAACAAGUCCCAUAAAUGAUAUUGUUGUUCCAACUGGGUAGAGGAGCAGCCUUACUUUGCCAGUAUUAUAACCACGGCCAAACCUGCCACUGGGGGUGAGGAAGCUGACAAGGAAAAUGGGGUGGGAAAAAAAGGGAAGAACCGAAGUCGACUCCUUUCGUCAAAUGAAGGUGGUCUUGCUAUUAAAGACUUUGCUGAAGGUCUCACCAUGUCCGUCACUUUAGCGUCUUUGUUUUAUUAAGAGCUCAUCUUUUUGCUUGAAAGAUUGUAUGUAAAUUUGAAACUAAAAUCAUCCUUUAUGGGAGAAAAUUUGAUGUAUUCUUAA